This 22-nucleotide microRNA is filed under the name Gadus morhua (Atlantic cod). Its description in RNAcentral is "Gmo-Mir-7133_5p (mature (guide))". Lineage: Eukaryota; Metazoa; Chordata; Actinopteri; Gadiformes; Gadidae. The record is from RNAcentral.
GAUGCUGAGGUUCAAACUGUAU